AUAUUUAAUAUUAGGUUAAAUUUUUUUAUUUGUAUUUUGGGUGAUWAAAUGUAUGUAAGAUAUAUUUUGGUGACAGGGAUUAGAUACCCCAUUAAUAUAUUUUGUAUUUAUUAUCUUAGUUUUAUAACUAAAAUGGUUUGGCAGUGAGUGAUUCUUUUUAGGGGAAGGUGUGGUGUAAAGGAUGUUCCGCCUAUUAUUUUACUUUUAUUAUGUUGGUGUAUAUCUGAUUUAAUAUUAUUGCUUAAUGGUUUAAGUUUGUGUAUGUUUAUUUAAGUCAAGUCUAUGUGCUGCUUAUAAAAGUAUUCAUGCGUUACUUUAAUAAUAUGUUGGUUGAAAUAUUAAUUAAUUUAGGACUUAAUAGUAAUAUUUAAUUAAUUUGUAGAUGUGAAUAUAGUUUAGCUCAUGUACACACCGCCCCGUCACCCU
RNAcentral lists this ribosomal RNA (426 nucleotides) under Taenia martis (marten tapeworm). Its description in RNAcentral is "partial 12S ribosomal RNA". Lineage: Eukaryota; Metazoa; Platyhelminthes; Cestoda; Cyclophyllidea; Taeniidae. The record is from RNAcentral.